AGCGAACGCUGGCGGCAGGCCUAACACAUGCGAGUCGAACGAACUCUUCGGAGUUAGUGGCGGACGGGUGAGUAACACGUGGGAACGUGCCUUUUGGUUCGGAAUAACUCAGGGAAACUUGUGCUAAUACCGAAUGUGCCCUUCGGGGGAAAGAUUUAUCGCCAUUAGAGCGGCCCGCGUCUGAUUAGCUAGUUGGUGAGGUAACGGCACACCAAGGCGAGGAUCAGUAGCUGGUCUGAGAGGAUGACCAGCCACACUGGGACUGAGACACGGCCCAGACUCCUACGGGAGGCAGCAGUGGGGAAUCUUGCGCAAUGGGCGAAAGCCUGACGCAGCCAUGCCGCGUGAAUGAUGAAGGUCUUAGGAUUGUAAAAUUCUUUCACCGGGGACGAUAAUGACGGUACCCGGAGAAGAAGCCCCGGCUAACUUCGUG
This 433-nucleotide ribosomal RNA is filed under the name uncultured bacterium. RNAcentral's name for it is "partial 16S ribosomal RNA". It matches the Rfam family "Bacterial small subunit ribosomal RNA", at positions 29 to 507 of the family's 1533-position model. The record is from RNAcentral.